GGGGGGAUGGCGCAGUGGUAAAGCGCCUGGUAUUCCUUUACCGCACUCCAAAUUUGCAGUGUAGUAGAGGUCGAAGGUUCGAAUCCUUCUCCUCUCA
Pyrenophora tritici-repentis Pt-1C-BFP is the source of this 97-nucleotide transfer RNA. It matches the Rfam family "tRNA". From Rfam's summary of the family: Transfer RNA (tRNA) molecules are approximately 80 nucleotides in length. Their secondary structure includes four short double-helical elements and three loops (D, anti-codon, and T loops). The record is from Rfam. Lineage: Eukaryota; Fungi; Ascomycota; Dothideomycetes; Pleosporales; Pleosporaceae.